UGGGGAAUUUUGGACAAUGGGCGCAAGCCUGAUCCAGCCAUGCCGCGUGUGUGAAGAAGGCCUUCGGGUUGUAAAGCACUUUCGGACGGAACGAAAUCGCGCGGGUUAACAGCCUGUGUGGAUGACGGUACCGUAAGAAGAAGCACCGGCUAACUACGUGCCAGCAGCCGCGGUAAUACGUAGGUGGCAAGCGUUGUCCGGAUUUAUUGGGUUUAAAGGGUGCGUAGGCGGCUUUGUAAGUCAGUGGUGAAAUAUGGCAGCUCAACUGUCAGGGUGCCAUUGAUACUGCGGAGCUUGAGUACAGAUGAAGUAGGCGGAAUUGACGGUGUAGCGGUGAAAUGCUUAGAUAUCGUCAAGAACACCGAUAGCGAAGGCAGCUUACUAGGCUGUAACUGACGCUGAGGCACGAAAGUGUGGGGAUCAAACAGGAUUAGAUACCCUGGUAGUCCACACUGUAAACGUUGAUGACUCGCUGUUGGCGA
Molecule: ribosomal RNA, 482 nt
Filed under: uncultured Bacteroidota bacterium
Lineage: Bacteria; Pseudomonadati; Bacteroidota
Description: bacterial SSU rRNA
Rfam family: Bacterial small subunit ribosomal RNA
Source: RNAcentral